Molecule: non-coding RNA, 225 nt
Organism: Caenorhabditis elegans
Lineage: Eukaryota; Metazoa; Nematoda; Chromadorea; Rhabditida; Rhabditidae
Source: Ensembl
AAUGUCGAAACUAGGUCAAUAAAAUUCUCUGAUUAAAAAACCUAUUUUAAAAAUUAGAAAAAUGCUAUGAUAUUUUACGAGUCGUAUUCAGUAUAACGAUACUGGGUUUGAAAUUUAAAUAAUAAAUAAAACCCACAAAUUGAUCAAAAUAAUUUCAAUGCUUUCAAGUUCAUAACUCAAAAUUGUCAUUAAAAAUCGGGUAAGUAAAAUAAAUGCGGAUUUGUA